MicroRNA from Caenorhabditis elegans, 22 nucleotides. Lineage: Eukaryota; Metazoa; Nematoda; Chromadorea; Rhabditida; Rhabditidae. The record is from Ensembl.
UCUCUUAUCCACUAGGCCACGA